This is a long non-coding RNA of Lolium perenne, 2821 nucleotides long. RefSeq lists it as uncharacterized. The record is from RefSeq and is a predicted model, not a curated record. Lineage: Eukaryota; Viridiplantae; Streptophyta; Magnoliopsida; Poales; Poaceae.
GUGAACGUCCUGUUGACACGUGUGUUGUUUGGGUUAAUUGAUUUCCGAAGGGUUUCUUCUGUGUGUAGUUUUGGUGCCUCUAGGAAAUUUCCGGUGAUCCUUUUUCACGUUCUUCGAUUCCGAUGUUGCACUAUCGUGGUCUUCUAUUUGGGUGCCUAUAGCUGCCUAUAGCACCGUUUAGCUAUUCUCCCCACGUUUCCUCUCUCGAUAACUCCCGAAAUCCCCAAUCAGAUCGCCUCUCUUCUUGGUCGUCUCCGGCAUCCACGAGGGCGGCGUGGCCCGUGGGGUGGAGGGGCGUGGCGCGGCGUCCUAUGACGAUGGUGGCGCAUGCGUGCUGGUGAAUGGUGCGGAAGGCCUAUCCAUGUCCUGGUGGUGCCGCCAGCCACCGGCCGCGGAGACCGACGGCGAACGGCAGCGCGACCACUGGGAGCGCUCCCUGCGUCGGCCAUGGCUUCUCCUCCUCCGUCUCGGCUUCGUGGUGGUGGAGGUGCAGCUGGUGGACGUUCCCGUGGUGGUGAUUGCACGCGCCGCCGCUGCCCGCGACGCCCCCACGCCUACAUCGUCGUCCUCCCUCCCGCGGCGUCGACUGCUUCAAGAAUGUCGAUCAAAUCGGCGAGGGAACCUACGGGAAAGUCAACAUGGCAGGAGACGAAGACGACCAAGAUUGUGACCCUCGAUAAGAUCCGCGCGAGUAUAGGGGUGGUCUCCUGGCGCGGGCGCGGGAGGCAUGAACGUCGGGUCGCUGAUCUCCCCGGCGACCAGCCUCGGCUGCUACUGGUUUGCCUUGGUUUUCUGCUACUGUUCCUCCUGGCACGGCUGGUUCAGCGCGGACCACUGCUUCUUGUUUUGUGCUGGACACUUCUCCGGAUGUGCGCGUUCAUGCCGGUGGGAAGCCUUCUUCCAAUGAUUCCCAACACUAGAUUCCUGGCCUUCCAGCUACCUCUAUGAUAGCGAGUGAGGCUGGUCCAUCCUCUUCACGAUCUGUUCGAGCUGCGGAAUCUGCACACAAGAGAAGAUUUGUACGAGCUUGAUUUUGCUGUUAUCGGCCGUGAGGGAGACAUAACGGAGGAUUGUGUGCCACAAAACUGCAUCGACCAAUUCAGGGAUCAACGGAAAGAAGGAUCAAUCUUAACGAUUAAUUUUUUUGUUGUCGACAUGCCCAAGACGGCAAGACCUAUAUAGUAUCAGACUGUUCAAUUUCUAUCAGGAACCCAUUAUAUGGUGCAUUCAGUCCAAUUUCUUUUAUACCUGCUUUCUUCCCCUCAAAACAACUAAUGAUGCUUUCAUGUACAAUACCUUCUUUAUUUGUUGCUAUGACCAUUGUUCAGUCAACAGGUAUAAAGAUUUCAGCCACGCACCCCAAAUACUCACCGGUUGGAUUUACCGGCCGCUAACUUUAACCUCUAUCUGGUUUUGACACAAUAUAGGUGUGUGGGCUCUCAAGAGCACACACAUAACAUGUUGUUAUAUAAAUUACUACAGUUUUGAUGCCGGUGGUUUUAUAUUAAUGCAUAAUCAUUACCCCAAGUUGUUAUAUCCGUGCACUGUAUUGUAUUACACAAGGGGGAGAAGCUUUACCACAAGCUGCAGGUGUAUGGUCAAUCUUCAGCAUUGCAAGAGGCAUGUGGUAUUUUUUGGUAUUGUUAGUCAGCUUUUAGCACUAAGCAAACUAGAGAUUGAAGACGAGUUCAAUCACUUUUUCUCCUGCAACAUAUGAAAAAGAUGGGUACUUAGUUUCUUCUAGCCUACCGUGCUGCCAUAUAUUGUUCUCUCCUACGACAAGUUCUUUUGACAGCUUUGAAAGCUCUAUCCAUGCAUAUUCAUUUACUGAUGCCUGAUCUCUGGACUUUUCUAUGCUUUGUAUUGCACUUUAUCAUAGAUAGAUGGUACGUUCUGUUUGCUCUUACGCCGAUAUUCAUGUAUGCUGAGUACCAAAAUACUAAUAUAGUGAGCAUUUUAUGUAGUAUAUUCACAGUAUUUGAUCCAUCGGAAAAAAUGCUGGCAAAAUAGAUUGGUAUUUAGAAAAAUUUGUUGCUACCUGCAGUUCUAUUCUCCUUUCAUAGUCUCUUGCUCCGGCUCUUGGUCUCAGGCAGAUGUGUGUAGCCUGCAGGUCGCAACACUGAAGAAUGGAGCGGUUGGUGGAGGGCGUCUCUACAUUUGUUUCCAGAGAGAUAAUGAAAUAGAUGCUGAUUACAUCUUAAACUAAGGUGGUAUGUAUGCAGUGAUCUUUUGAUGGCCUAUGGUAGAACCAAGAAUUAUACAUGAACACUACUAAUGUGCUCAGUUCACCUGAACUAAAUGAUGGGCGCGUACCAAGCUUCAAGAAAUUUUCCUGGAGGCACAUUCAUGUAUUUUUGUUCUGUUGGGUACAUUUUGAUAUAUUUGCCGUCCUUCUGGUUUCCAAUUUAUCUUAUUUUCGUAUUUGUCAUUUUGAUUUUCUUAAGUAGUGGAGUUUGUAAAUGAUACCGUUUAUUAUUGAAGAUAACUUGCUAAUGCUUAUCAACCACUAUGUACUUUAUACUCAUUUAUACAAGUGACUCUUGCAAGUUUCUUAACUAGGUAUUCACGGUACUACCAAUAUGCAUGAAUGGAGUUGAGGAAUUUCAAAGCGCCUUUAAAAGGUUGUAUGGGUCGUUGCUACCAUCAUUGUUUAAGAGUUUCAAGUUGUAAUAUGGCCACUUACAGAAGGAGUAACAAAUUCGCUAGAAAGUUAAUGUAUUCGCAGUUCUUGGUGUAAGAAUGUUAUCAAGUGAGUUUAGUUUUGGUUUCUAUCUAAAUGUCCACUUCAAAAAAACAAAGACCAAUAUAGAGUUUUCAGUAU